This 252-nucleotide ribosomal RNA is filed under the name uncultured bacterium. RNAcentral's name for it is "partial 16S ribosomal RNA". It matches the Rfam family "Bacterial small subunit ribosomal RNA", at positions 524 to 776 of the family's 1533-position model. The record is from RNAcentral.
UACGUAGGUGGCAAGCGUUGUCCGGAUUUACUGGCGUAAAGAGCGCGCAGGCGGUCGUUCAAGUCGCGUGUGAAAGCCCCCGGCUCAACUGGGGAGGGUCACGCGAUACUGAUCGACUCGAAGGCAGGAGAGGGUAGUGGAAUUCCCGGUGUAGUGGUGAAAUGCGUAGAUAUCGGGAGGAGCACCAGUGGCGAAGGCGACUACCUGGCCUGUUCUUGACGCUGAGGCGCGAAAGCUAGGGGAGCAAACGGG